This 584-nucleotide ribosomal RNA is filed under the name Pseudomonas sp. StFRB329. Its description in RNAcentral is "bacterial SSU rRNA". It matches the Rfam family "Bacterial small subunit ribosomal RNA", at positions 102 to 682 of the family's 1533-position model. Lineage: Bacteria; Pseudomonadati; Pseudomonadota; Gammaproteobacteria; Pseudomonadales; Pseudomonadaceae. The record is from RNAcentral. RNAcentral also lists the same sequence under 8 other names.
ACGGGUGAGUAAUGCCUAGGAAUCUGCCUGGUAGUGGGGGAUAACGCUCGGAAACGGACGCUAAUACCGCAUACGUCCUACGGGAGAAAGCAGGGGACCUUCGGGCCUUGCGCUAUCAGAUGAGCCUAGGUCGGAUUAGCUAGUUGGUGAGGUAAUGGCUCACCAAGGCGACGAUCCGUAACUGGUCUGAGAGGAUGAUCAGUCACACUGGAACUGAGACACGGUCCAGACUCCUACGGGAGGCAGCAGUGGGGAAUAUUGGACAAUGGGCGAAAGCCUGAUCCAGCCAUGCCGCGUGUGUGAAGAAGGUCUUCGGAUUGUAAAGCACUUUAAGUUGGGAGGAAGGGCAUUAACCUAAUACGUUAGUGUUUUGACGUUACCGACAGAAUAAGCACCGGCUAACUCUGUGCCAGCAGCCGCGGUAAUACAGAGGGUGCAAGCGUUAAUCGGAAUUACUGGGCGUAAAGCGCGCGUAGGUGGUUUGUUAAGUUGGAUGUGAAAUCCCCGGGCUCAACCUGGGAACUGCAUUCAAAACUGACAAGCUAGAGUAUGGUAGAGGGUGGUGGAAUUUCCUGUGUAGCGGU